CAAAGUCUAGCCAGAAACUUAAUACCUCUCAGGAAGUGAGGAGAUCUUGACUUCACUCUCAAUUUAUGUAUCAACCCAUCACCUUGUAUGAAGAUUAAACUUCUUGCAAUAGGAGGGUAAAAAUCUCCUCUGUUAUUCCUAUGGGAGAGAGAACUCUCUUUCCUGGCCAGCAAUGGAAACAGACAACUUACCGUGCUCACUACAUUCCAGGCACUGUUGUACGUUAACUCAUCCAGUUAUCUCAGCAACCCAACAAGCUCAGACCCACAGCACCAGAAUGGUACCAGGUACUUAAGAGGUUCUCGUUGAAAGGUGAAUGCAUGGUGGAGAAAGAAGCAAUCCCUGCUCUUAGAAAGUGUCUCCUGUGAGU
Molecule: long non-coding RNA, 370 nt
Filed under: Equus caballus (horse)
Lineage: Eukaryota; Metazoa; Chordata; Mammalia; Perissodactyla; Equidae
Description: lncRNA (ENSECAG00000058527.1)
Source: RNAcentral